CAAAACUGGGAAAGACGUAAUUAAGUGGCAAGAGGGUUUAGUUGUGCAAAGCAAGUUACCAAGUCAAACUUGUCCUUCAAAGGACAGCAUUCUACAGCCAGCUUUGGAUAGAAACCUAAAUGGACAUUCCUGGUUCAAGCCACCCCUCGAUGUCUCUUUUAACAUACCCCUAAUGAUGUUUAAUGUCUAAUUUAUCUGCUUGUCUACUCCUGUCAUGAAAGCAGGAACUGGACUCAUUUGGUUAUCACUGUAUGACCAGAACCUAGAAUAGUACCUGGCACUCAGCAAGCACUCAGUAAAGAUUUGUCUUCCGGCUGACACCAGGCUGGGAACAAGUCAAAUGAUGAAGGAAGAAGGGAGAGAUUCUAUCUGUCAUAGCUCGCAAGGGAGCAGGAUGGAAAUUAGAGAUGGAAUUACAAAGAGGUCCCUCACUGCCAUCAAAGGCUGGUAGUGGCACGUACUCUACCCUGACGGGGAACAGACAUCCAGAGGAUCAAGUUAAAAGCCGUUGUUGGAAGUUACAAGUCCCGGGUUGGUGUUCCAGAAGCUUAAUAUCAACUAUACUGAUGACGCCACCAUUUCCCCAUUUCCCAACACCUUUGAUGCCACCUGACAUUUUCUUUAAUCUCAUCAGAAAAAUAAAUGAUGUCACCAUGGCAGCCCUCUCAACACAGCAGAGAAGCAAGCCAUUCCAAAAUGGGCCAGAUUUGGUAUUACCUAAGUCUUGAUACUCUGGGCAGAUGGCGUAUUUUCAAAAGUCUGGCUGAAGCACAGUGAAUUAAUGGAAAAAGCACUCAGCAGAGAGAUCGGGAACUUGGGUUCCUGUUUCAGCUUUGCUACUAAAUUUUUGUCCUUGUCAUUCUACUGUUCUGGGCUUUAUUUUCCAAAUCUGUAAAAUGAAGGUGGGUACCUUCCAGAACUAAAAUUACACAGUCCCCUCAGGGUUCGUUUACAACAGUCACCUCUCUGAUGUCCUUCAAUGUCACUGUCCUCCAGCUACCAAUGCAAAUCCCACCUUUCCUCCUCACUCCUUCAGUUUGGCCUCACCACAUGGGGAAAAUGCGUUCUCUAAUGUUCAUCAACUUGAAACUGUGGCUUGUAUGUAAGCACUUUUUCAAACUACCCUGAGUUUGAACAUGGGUAUGUUUUAUUCUUCCUAUGUAGCGUGUAAGUUCCUUAGGGAAAAAGACCAAGAAUUUCAUGUCCCCCAAACACACCUAGCACAGUGCUGGGCACAUCACAGGUGCUCAGUCAGGGCCUUCCAACCUUACCAACAGAUGAGUGUGCAAGUAAAUGUAGGAUUACUGCUAUUACACUGAUGUUCUCCAAAGCCCAGGUCACCAACUCAGCCAGGAAUCAGCUACAAUCUGUCCUUUCUUGUUAAGGGACACCUUACUGCAAGGUUGGCUGGGACUGAUUUACCUGAUCAUGGGCAGUGCUACCCUGCAAGCUCUGAAUACUCCUGAACAAGUAAAUACAAGUACCUCCCUCCAUAGGACUUUUAAAGUUGCACAAACUUUGUGAAGACAAUGAGCAGUUUCUUUCUUGGAUUGGCACUCCAAAAACAUACAGACACCUCUCUGUGGAGGUACAAUGAGACUCAGGACAAAAGUACAAAACACUGCCAGUUCAAACAGCCUCCUCUGUUACAGAGCAUAUAUAUGACUUCUGUAAUCCGAGUUGAUUCAGCCUAUAGAUGGCCUCAAGGCAGAAUCAGCCCUCAAGUCUUUUUUUUUUUUUUCAGUAUGAAAGAAAGAAUUUUAAAGUUAUGGGGAAAAUCCAUAAGCAAGAGAGCCUCAUGUGAAUGUCAAAUACUAGGUGUUUGCUUUUUUUAAACCAAAGCUACUAUCUGUGUCUUAAAGGGUCCCCAGAGUUUAAGUCAAUUUCAAAUGGGACUGUAACAACCUACUUCUUCUCACAAAUGGGCCUUGAGAGCUCGUUUGGAGGGGUUUAACAGGAGAGCACAACUCCUGGUAUGUUCGUUGGCCAAGCAGGUCUUCCGUAUAUGAAAGGCCAUCUCUUUGGUGGAAGGCUUAGCACUGUGAGGGAGUGUGGAAGGAAGGAGCGUGGCCCGGCCAGGCAGAUGUAGUCAAAUCACCCUGGUUUCAGUAGUGUGACAGAUGGGCAGCUGGCUUGCUCUGCUCCGCAUUUUGGGGUGGGGGAUUUAGACACUGUAGCCACUGAGGCUGUUGGCCACAGUUGCUUUCUCAGACCAAGAGCUCCACUGUCCUUCCUGGAAAGAAGACUCUUUCAGUUCUAUUUUAUGUACAGAAAGAGUGAUUAUUUGAGGCUUGAAUACAGAAAUUAAUGGCACAGGCCAAAUGAAGGCUUAACAAAAUGAAGACUUCGUUUAUUUUAUGUUUAAAAGUUUAAGGCAGUUUCACUGAAUUUUCAUUUAAGGUGUUUUUUUAAAUGUCAUUGCUUUUUUUCCCCUGGUAGUUCAAAAAUGUCAUACUAAAAAUCAACUCAUAAUGUACCCUCAGGUAUACACCUAAAAACAUGAAUGAAGAUAUAUGUACAAGGACGUUAACUGAGACAUUAUUUUUAACAUCAGGAAAAAUGGAACAAAACCAUGUAUUCAUCAGUAACAAACUGAUUAGAAUAGUAUGUGUCAUGAUUCCACUUGGGAAAACACAGUAACUCUGUAUGUGCAUAAAAAGUACGUAUGAUUGUAUGGACACAGGAAAGGUCUCGAAGGACAGUCACUGAACUAAACAGUGGCUGUCUCCAGAGGAUGGGGUGCGGGAUGUUUGGUGAGGAGGGAGGACUUUUAACACAUACAAUUUUACCCCAUUAAAUUUUUUUUUUACAAGUAUAUUUAAUUUUUUAACUGGUCCUCAGGUAACAGCACUGGAUUAACCAUAUAUAACAUAUUAUCACUAUGGAUUCAUGCAUGGCCCACUUUUACUAAAGUUAGUUAACCAGUUAUUUUUAAUAAUAAAGCACACUUUGGGCUUCCCUCGUGGUGCAGUGGUUGAGAGUCCGCCUGCCAAUGCAGGGGGCACGGGUUCAUGCCCCGGUCCGGGAAGAUCCCACACGUCGUGGAGCGGCUGGGCCCGUGAGCCGUGGCCGCUGGGCCUGCGCAUCCGGAGCUUGUGCUCCGCAACGGGAGAGGCCACAACAGUGAGAGGCCCGCGUACCGCAAAAAAAAAAAAAUAAUAAUAAUAAUAA
Orcinus orca (killer whale) is the source of this 3171-nucleotide long non-coding RNA. RefSeq lists it as uncharacterized. The record is from RefSeq and is a predicted model, not a curated record. The transcript has 2 exons. Lineage: Eukaryota; Metazoa; Chordata; Mammalia; Artiodactyla; Delphinidae.